RNAcentral lists this ribosomal RNA (607 nucleotides) under Crenimugil cf. seheli EV-2021. RNAcentral's name for it is "partial large subunit ribosomal RNA". It matches the Rfam family "Bacterial large subunit ribosomal RNA", at positions 1804 to 2610 of the family's 2925-position model. Lineage: Eukaryota; Metazoa; Chordata; Actinopteri; Mugiliformes; Mugilidae. The record is from RNAcentral.
UUAUCAAAAACAUCGCCUCUUGCUAAUUACACAUAAGAGGUCCCGCCUGCCCUGUGACCCCCAGUUUAACGGCCGCGGUAUUUUGACCGUGCAAAGGUAGCGCAAUCACUUGUCCCUUAAAUGAGGACCUGUAUGAAUGGCACAACGAGGGCUUAACUGUCUCCUUUCCCCGGUCAAUGAAAUUGAUCUCCCCGUGCAGAAGCGGGGAUCCUAACAUAAGACGAGAAGACCCUAUGGAGCUUUAGACUCCAGAACAGACCAUGUCAGCUACUCCCCUUAAACAUAGUAGUAACUAUUGAGCCUCUGUUCUCUGUCUUUGGUUGGGGCGACCACGGGGAAGAAAAAAUCCCCCAUGUGGACCGGGAGCACCAAUCUCACUCCCACAACCACGAGCCACAGCUCUAAUGCGCAGAACUUCUGACCAUAUUGAUCCGGCAACUAGCCGAUCAACGGACCGAGUUACCCUAGGGAUAACAGCGCAAUCCCCUUUAAGAGUCCCUAUCGACAAGGGGGUUUACGACCUCGAUGUUGGAUCAAGACAUCCUAAUGGUGCAGCCGCUAUUAAGGGUUCGUUUGUUCAACGAUUAAAGUCUUACGUGAUCUGAGU